Molecule: transfer RNA, 103 nt
Filed under: Luteimonas deserti
Lineage: Bacteria; Pseudomonadati; Pseudomonadota; Gammaproteobacteria; Lysobacterales; Lysobacteraceae
Description: tRNA-Ile
Rfam family: tRNA
About the family: Transfer RNA (tRNA) molecules are approximately 80 nucleotides in length. Their secondary structure includes four short double-helical elements and three loops (D, anti-codon, and T loops). Further hydrogen bonds mediate the characteristic L-shaped molecular structure. tRNAs have two regions of fundamental functional importance: the anti-codon, which is responsible for specific mRNA codon recognition, and the 3' end, to which the tRNAs corresponding amino acid is attached (by aminoacyl-tRNA synthetases). tRNAs cope with the degeneracy of the genetic code in two manners: having more than one tRNA (with a specific anti-codon) for a particular amino acid; and 'wobble' base-pairing, i.e. permitting non-standard base-pairing at the 3rd anti-codon position.
Source: RNAcentral
GCCCCUGCUGCUUACGUUGGUUUAAGCGCCGGCCUUAUACUCCGGUGAAAGCACGCGCCAGAUAAGCGCGGCCACGUCGGUUCGAUUCCGACCAGGGGCUCCA